UACAGAGGUCCCAAGCGUUGUCCGGAUUUACUGGGCGUAAAGGGUGCGUAGGUGGCGGGGUAAGUCUGGUGUGAAAGCUCCGAGCUCAACUCGGAAAAGCAUUGGAAACUAUCCCGCUUGAGGGUCGGAGGGGAGACUGGAAUUCUCGGUGUAGCAGUGAAAUGCGUAGAUAUCGAGAGGAACACCAGUGGCGAAGGCGAGUCUCUGGACGACUCCUGACACUGAGGCACGAAAGCUAGGGGAGCAAACAGG
This 252-nucleotide ribosomal RNA is filed under the name uncultured bacterium. RNAcentral's name for it is "partial 16S ribosomal RNA". It matches the Rfam family "Bacterial small subunit ribosomal RNA", at positions 524 to 776 of the family's 1533-position model. The record is from RNAcentral.